UACGGGGGGGGCAAGCGUUGUUCGGAAUUACUGGGCGUAAAGGGCUCGUAGGCGGACUGUUAAGUCGGAUGUGAAAUCCCUCAGCUUAACUGAGGAAGUGCAUUCGAAACUGGCAGUCUUGAGUAUGGAAGAGGGUCGCGGAAUUCCCGGUGUAGAGGUGAAAUUCGUAGAUAUCGGGAGGAACACCAGUGGCGAAGGCGGCGACCUGGGCCAAUACUGACGCUGAGGUGCGAAAGCGUGGGGAGCAAACAGG
Molecule: ribosomal RNA, 253 nt
Filed under: uncultured bacterium
Lineage: Bacteria
Description: partial 16S ribosomal RNA
Rfam family: Bacterial small subunit ribosomal RNA
Source: RNAcentral